UAAUUAGUGAAAUAAAGAUCAUCAAAUCUAUGCCAUUAAUAUAUGUGCUAAACAAAAAUCAAUAUUAAAGAAAUUAGAGUUUCAUUGACUUACUAGAGUUUCAUUUCAAAGAAAUUACAAAUGUCAAUCCUGUUAGACUAGAGACUACAGUAGACUUAUUAGUCGUGAAGAUCAAUUACCAUCUCCUCAAGUUUUGUGGAGAGAGAUGAUGCUGCUUAGUUCGGAGGAAGUGACGCUCGUGAACCCCCCAUGGAGAUUGUUACAGCAGAGAAACCCUAGCCGAUGCCGAUGUCGGUGGCUAGCAAGGAAGGGAGUCUCAACCCUCAAGUCAUUCCACUUGCCUUACCUUAAAAGCUAGCAUAUUUAAGUAUUAUUUUAUUAUUUUUAAAUUAACAAUAACCCAACUUUUAUCAUUUAAAAAAAAAAAAUAUAAAUAAAACAAUAAAUUUUGACACAACUGAUGAAAGAAAAAUAUUGACAAUAGCGGCAUUUCCCCCGAUGAGCACACUUACAGCCUGCUCAUUGAUGCCUACGCGAAUGCGGGCAGGUGGGAAAGCACAAGAAUUGUGUUGAAAGAGAUGGAAUCUGGCAAUGUGCAGACCAAUUCUUAUGUUUUCAGCAGGAUUUUAGCCAGCUACCGCGAUAGAGGGGAGUGGCAAAAGUCGUUCCAAGUUUUGAGGGAGAUGAAGAGCAGUGGAGUAAGACCCGAUAGGCAUUUUUACAAUGUCAUGAUUGACACUUUUGGAAAGUCCAAUUGUCUUGAUCAUGCUAUGGCUACCCUUGAAAGGAUGCUAUCUGAGGGAAUCCACCCGGACACCAUCACCUGGAAUACGCUUAUAGAUUGUCAUUGCAAGUCAAGCCGCCAUGUAAGGGCAGAGGAGCUGUUUGAGGAAAUGCAGCAAAGUGGGUGUGCCCCUUGCGCCACCACCUAUAACAUCAUGAUCAAUUCCUUUGGGGAGCAGCAAAGGUGGGAUGAUGUGAAAGGCUUGUUGGGGAAGAUGCAGGCUCAGGGUUUACUGCCCAACAUAGUUACGUAUACCACAUUGGUUGACAUUCAUGGAAAGUCGGGGAGAUUUACUGAUGCAAUAGAGUGUUUGGAGGUUAUGAAGUCUGCAGGCAUGAAACCAUCCCCGGCAAUGUACAAUGCCUUAAUUAAUGCCCAUGCACAAAGAGGUUUGUCGGAGCAAGCACUGAACGCGUUUAAGGUAAUGAGAGCAGAUGGAUUAGAACCCAGUCCCUUGGCUCUCAAUUCGUUAAUCAAUGCAUUUGGUGAAGAUAGAAGGGAUACUGAGGCCUUUUCUGUGUUGCAGUACAUGAAGGAAAAUGACCUGAAACCAGAUGUAGUUACGUAUACCACACUUAUGAAAACCCUUAUCCGUGUUGAUAAAUUUUAUAAGAUUCCAGCAGUGUAUGAAGAAAUGAUUAUGUCUGGUUGCACUCCAGAUAGGAAAGCUAGGGCUAUGUUAAGGUCUGCGCUGAAAUACAUGAAACAGACACUCAGAUCCUAAAUGACAUGAUUUGAGUCAUCCAGCCACAGUUAAAUGUGUUCACCUGCUAUGUUUGGUCUAGUCAGGAACGACGAGUCAUACUGGCCAUCGUGCAAGAGUAUCCAACAUCAAGGGAAAUUGUGUUCCAGAGUUUGGGAACAAUGACACUGAGCACAGCACACCCUAGUGACAAACACAAGAACAGCUGAAGAAAUACACCCCCAUC
This is an RNA transcript of Pyrus x bretschneideri (Chinese white pear), 1713 nucleotides long. It is a transcript of the gene named pentatricopeptide repeat-containing protein At5g42310, chloroplastic-like, with no coding region annotated. NCBI's taxonomy places the organism in Eukaryota, Viridiplantae, Streptophyta, Magnoliopsida, Rosales, Rosaceae. The transcript is spliced from 5 exons. The record is from RefSeq and is a predicted model, not a curated record.